CCCGACCACCCGUCCGGCUCAGCCGCGCUCGGGGCCCCGGGCGCUCAGGUGAAGCCCUGCAAAGACAGAUGGAUCUGAUUAGUGCACCCAGGUCCUAAGGGCGUGUGCUCGGCACAUUUAAUGUGAAAUGGGGUCAAGCGGCCAUGCGGAGCAGUGGAGUCUGGGGAGAAAUUCACCCGGGUGGAGGCGCCUAAGAAGGGUCGAGAUCUUUAGGCAUUUUCCGUGGGCAGCCGAAAGCAGAAAUUAGGAAGCAACGCUCUGCUUUGCGCAGAGUGGGUCCGCAUCUUGGAGUGACAGACUGGCGGCGUGGGUCAAAGAGACAAGACUUCAAAAUCCUGAAGUAAAUGUGGCAAACUUAUCCCUUCGGCCUUGUAAGGUUUUGGGCAAAUUCUUUUCUCGUCAUACAAGUCAGGUUUAUUUGGAAUACGGUGAAUAUUUUGCCAGCAUACAAACUUGAAGAACUGAGAUUUGACCUGGCUUGCUGUAUGUAAAAUACCAUCAUUCUCGAUGAAUAAAUAGAACCAAUUUUUCA
RNAcentral lists this long non-coding RNA (532 nucleotides) under Felis catus (domestic cat). RNAcentral's name for it is "lncRNA (ENSFCAG00000049562.1)". The record is from RNAcentral. Lineage: Eukaryota; Metazoa; Chordata; Mammalia; Carnivora; Felidae.